UGAGAUAACUUGUGAUGAUCCACUACAUCUGAUGAGAUAACUUGUGAUGAUCCACUUCAAUCUUCGAAUCUAUUUUAUCAUUCCUCAUAUGUAUAUUUUCUAAAUUUAAAGAAAAUAUGCAAAAAACUCACCGAGUGGAAAGAAGUAAAUGCAACCCAGUAUAUUAUGCAGUUAUUGUCGAAAUCUGGUGACAAUAUUGAUGAAGGCAGCAAAAUUGAGGAUACGUUCAUAUACUUCCAAGUUUCAACAGGUAGACGGAAUCAAUAUUUAAAAUAAUUUAGUUGGUUUGUAGAAAAAAUAUGAAAUUUUUGUUUUAAAUAAAAGUAAUUUGAAUUUCA
Molecule: long non-coding RNA, 338 nt
Organism: Parasteatoda tepidariorum (common house spider)
Lineage: Eukaryota; Metazoa; Arthropoda; Arachnida; Araneae; Theridiidae
Source: RefSeq, a predicted model, not a curated record